Molecule: ribosomal RNA, 243 nt
Filed under: uncultured bacterium
Lineage: Bacteria
Description: partial 16S ribosomal RNA
Rfam family: Bacterial small subunit ribosomal RNA
Source: RNAcentral
GACGAACGCUGGCGGCGUGCUUAACACAUGCAAGUCGAGCGGUAAGGCCCUUUCGGGGGUACGACGAGCGGCGAACGGGUAGGAGUAACACGUGGGUGGACCUCGCCCUCCAGCUCUGGGAGUAAGACCCGGGAAACCGUAGGGUCGUAAUACUGGAUAUGACUCCAUGACGCAUGUUGUGGGGUGGAAAGCCUUGUGCGGCUGAGGAUGGGCCCGCGGCCUAUCAGCUUGUUGGUGGGGGGA